Molecule: long non-coding RNA, 534 nt
Organism: Xenia sp. Carnegie-2017
Lineage: Eukaryota; Metazoa; Cnidaria; Anthozoa; Malacalcyonacea; Xeniidae
Exons: 4
Source: RefSeq, a predicted model, not a curated record
AGCGUUGUGAAAAUGAACAUGUUAUUGCCAUUCACUUAAAAUCAAUGAAAAGCACAAAAAAAUUGUAAUUAUAAAUUCUAAAUGAAUGGAAAGAACGUUUUACUUAGCACUUCGCCUAGAAACUGGAAUAGAGGAAUCGCGUUUCUGCUGAUUACAUAUGUAUUGUGUGUAUUCUGACCAUUGAAAUGCAAGCAUCGAUUGGAGAAGCAAAAAUAAGCAAAAUUUCGACGUUCGUUGAUGUCAUGAUCAGCACAAAAUAGCCGCUUCACUUGUGCCUCAAACUACUGAUUCUUCAAAAUCAACAAAAACAUACUGUGGAAGACAAAAAUGAGGACUUGUGCUGAUAAACUCUACAAGUGACGUGUUAAGAAAGCGGAAACGGGCAAGAGCGUAGUAACUAAAAUCUGCCAAAAAUAACGUUCAAUUCUCUAUUAAUCGUCGAAGAAAAGUAACUUCAUAUAAGUUCAGAAUGCAAGAGGAACAUUUUCAGAAAAAUUGAAAUUAUUAAUCGAUAUUCUGAUCGUGUCAACAACG